RNAcentral lists this transfer RNA (75 nucleotides) under Thiemannella venezuelensis. RNAcentral's name for it is "Planomonospora venezuelensis tRNA-Thr". It matches the Rfam family "tRNA". From Rfam's summary of the family: Transfer RNA (tRNA) molecules are approximately 80 nucleotides in length. Their secondary structure includes four short double-helical elements and three loops (D, anti-codon, and T loops). RNAcentral also lists the same sequence under 5 other names. The record is from RNAcentral. Lineage: Bacteria; Bacillati; Actinomycetota; Actinomycetes; Streptosporangiales; Streptosporangiaceae.
GCCGCGUUAGCUCAGGGGUAGAGCACCAAUCUUGUAAAUUGGGUUGCGAGAGUUCGAAUCUCUCACGCGGCUCCA